GCUUAACGCGAAGAACCUUACCAGGCCUUGACAUGCACUAGACCGACUCUGAAAGGAGUCUUCCCUUCGGGGCUGGUGCACAGGUGCUGCAUGGCUGUCGUCAGCUCGUGUCGUGAGAUGUUGCGUUAAGUCGCGCAACGAGCGCAACCCCUGUCCUUAGUUGCCAUCAGGUAAAGCUGGGCACUCUAGGGAGACAAACCCUCUCUGAGGGUGGGAAGGUGGGGAUGACGUCAAGUCAGGAUGGCCCUUACGGCCUGAGCUGCACACGUGCUACAAUGCUCGGUACAGAGGGACGCAAGACCGCGAGGUGGAGCAAAUCCCAAAAACCGAGCCCAGUUCAGAUUGCAGUCUGCAACUCGACUGCAUGAAGCCGGAAUCGCUAGUAAUGGCGUAUCAGCUACGACGCCGUGAAUACGUUCCCGGGUCUUGUACACACCG
This 438-nucleotide ribosomal RNA is filed under the name uncultured bacterium. RNAcentral's name for it is "bacterial SSU rRNA". It matches the Rfam family "Bacterial small subunit ribosomal RNA", at positions 954 to 1392 of the family's 1533-position model. The record is from RNAcentral.